RNAcentral lists this long non-coding RNA (1264 nucleotides) under Felis catus (domestic cat). Its description in RNAcentral is "lncRNA (ENSFCAG00000049503.1)". Lineage: Eukaryota; Metazoa; Chordata; Mammalia; Carnivora; Felidae. The record is from RNAcentral.
UAUAUAUAUAUAUAUAUAUAUAUAUAUAUAUAUAUAUAUAUAUAUAUAUAUAUAUAUAUAUAAGGCUGAUUUCUCUAGGAACAAUGGUUCAGUAUUUGCAGCACCUUUAUAACUAUGAAUGAGAAUUUACUGCACUGUGGCCUCAUUCUGAAGUUGCUGGUGAGAUUCUUCCCACUGCUUUCUACAGAUGGGAAAACCCAUGUCAACUCAACUUCAGCCAUGCAGGUGGUGAUAAUGUCCCAGGAUGGCAGAUCAACAGGAUGAAAAAUGUGGAUCCCUGAAUGACUUCAUGGAACAGGGCUAGCUGCUGACUGGAAGUCUCCACAGAUUGUAAUCACAGAAUGUUAUACCUCUUCUCUUUAAGCCUCUUUAUUGUUGUUGGUGGCCGCUCCAGUGGCCUUAUAUAACCACUGUCUGCACUGAGUGUGAAAGACAUUUUCCUAAAGGAAAAACAAUUUUGAAUUGGAUACUCAUAUGCUUAUUUCUAGAUUUAUUAACAAAUCCGUAACUUGCUUACAGACACGAGGAAAAGAAUGCUUAGUUCACUGGCUCAGAUUCGCUGUAUUUGAUUUUUUUAGCUUAUUUUUAAUGUAACCGCUUAGUCCUACUUCUAGAGAUUCUGAAUUGUUCGGCAGAGCUGGAGCUCCAAAAGAAAAGGAGCCAGCCACAUGAAGACCUAGCAAAGAAGAACAUUCCAUGCAGAGAGAACAGGACUGCAAAAUCCUUGAGGGAUGAAUGGAUUUGGUAAGUUUGAGGAACAGAAGGGAAGGCAGUAAUGUGGCAGCUCAUUAGGUAAGAGAGAGUGACGUAAGAUGAGAACAGAGGGGCAGGCAGGAUACACAUCACAUAUUAUGAUUUUGUGAGCCAGCACAAGGAGUCUGAAUUUCAAAGUCCAUCGGGAUGUCUUCUGAGAUUUUAAAAUAAGGAAGGGAAGCAUUUGAGUUUUGCUUUUAAAAUAUGACUCUAGGGACAUCUGACUGGGUCCCCUACAGUGUGUGACUCUUGAUCUCAGGGUCAUGAAUUCAAGCCCUAUGUUGGUCAAAGAGCCUACUUAACGAAAAGUAAAAGAGGACUCUGUUUCCUGUGUGGAGAAUGGUUCCCAGGUUGAUAAGAGAUUAGUGUCUAGACUUGAGGUGAUGCUGGUUUGAACUGAUGUGAUAAUGGUAGAAGAGAGGUGGGCAGAUUAGGGAUAUAUUUUGAAGGUGGGAUCAGAGAAUUUAAUGAUAGAUGACUGACUAUGUCAGGGGAGAGAAGGAAAGACAUU